RNAcentral lists this ribosomal RNA (459 nucleotides) under uncultured bacterium. RNAcentral's name for it is "partial 16S ribosomal RNA". It matches the Rfam family "Bacterial small subunit ribosomal RNA", at positions 338 to 795 of the family's 1533-position model. The record is from RNAcentral.
CCUACGGGGGGCAGCAGUGAGGAAUAUUGGUCAAUGGACGGAAGUCUGAACCAGCCAUGCCGCGUGCAGGAAGACGGCCCUAUGAGUUGUAAACAGCUUUUGUACAAGGGUAAACCUGAAUACGUGUAUUCAGCUGAAAGUACUGUACGAAUAAGGAUCGGCUAACUCCGUGCCAGCAGCCGCGGUAAUACGGAGGAGCCAAGCGUUAUCCGGAUUUAUGGGGUUAAACGGGUGCGUAGGCGGGCGUUUAAGUCAGCGGUAAAAAUUCGGGGCGAAACCCCGUCCGGCCGUUGAAACUGGGGGCCUUGAGUGUGCGAGAGGAAGGCAGAAUGCCAGGUGUAGCGGUGAAAUGCAUAGAGAUCACGCAGAACCCCGAUGGCGAAGGCAGCCCUCCGGCGCCAGACUGACGCUGAGGUGCGAAAGUGCGGGGAUCGAACAGGAUUAGAUACCCGGGUAGUC